UACAGAGGUCCCGAGCGUUGUUCGGAUUCACUGGGCGUAAAGGGUGCGCAGGUGGGUUGGCAAGUUUGAUGUGAAAGCCCCGGGCUUAACCCGGGAAUGGCAUUGAAUACUGCUGAUCUGGAGGAUCGGAGGGGGGACUGGAAUUCUUGGUGUAGCAGUGAAAUGCGUAGAUAUCAAGAGGAACACCAGUGGCGAAGGCGAGUCCCUGGACGAUACCUGACACUGAGGCACGAAGCCAAGGGAGCAAACAGG
This 252-nucleotide ribosomal RNA is filed under the name uncultured bacterium. RNAcentral's name for it is "partial 16S ribosomal RNA". It matches the Rfam family "Bacterial small subunit ribosomal RNA", at positions 524 to 776 of the family's 1533-position model. The record is from RNAcentral.